CAAAUAUGUGGGAUGACUGUAUUGUAGCUCUUUUUACCCCGGUUAAUGGUGUUCUACUUGGCUCAAAGUUCCAUAUCUGCACCCAUAAAAACAAUCAACUCCUUCUCGAAAAGUCCAUCCAGUUUUUCCAAAUCAAACUCCGUCAGCCCUUUAAACACGUGCAGCAGCGCGUCAGUUGACCAGUUUCGCGGGUUUUUUUCGCAUGCUCCUUCAACCGUCAAAACGCCGGGCCCUGCUUGGUGUGUUGGUGGCAGAAACCGGGUUUGGCCGUCGUUCACGCACACACUCUACCGGGAGGAACGCGUGUGUUGGUGCGCAACUGCCAGUCUGCCGGGUGCACAGGGUGACGCAAAAGGGGGUCGAUCGAUUGAUUGUUUGAAAAAUUUUGGACGAAAAUUUGGUUUUAGUUUGAUUUUUUGCUCUGGAUGCUUCGGAAAUUGUUUGUGAAACUGUAGACGUUGGUGUUUGAGAGAGAUUAAUAUGGUUUGUCUGAUUAAAUAACUCAUGUUUCAAGAGAAAACUUUGCUAAACACCAUGAGAUUCUUCAAAAGCCUUCCAUAAACGCCAUUUAUUUCGGCUAAUGCUUUACAAGGACAGACAUGUGAAUCAAUAUCGUUGGUCAGACAUACUUUCCGAAGCUGUUUUCAAAGUUCAACUUGAAAAAUUCUGUUUAAAUCAUGAAAAAUCAUGUCAAAUUCGCCCAAAAUCUUCACCACUUGGAAGGUAAUCAAUUUCUUCGCUGUUGUUUUCCUUACUUCUACCGAGAAAGUUGCUGCCCGGUGGCACCAACAUCAGCAUGCGUUAGCUGCCUGGCACAGGCAAACGCACCAAAGGCAAAAACAACUACCGACAGCGCGACGGGGCGACGUACGUCGGUUACCUGCCGGCAGUACAAAAGCGCCCUGUGAGCAUACGUCAGCAUCAUUCGUUUCUCAGCAAUCGUACAGUGAACACACAGUGUGAGAGCAGCAGCCCUCGUGGUUUGCUUGCUCUCUCUCACUCUCUCAUCCAGCAGUCAGUGGUGAAUCAUGGCUAAAUCUGUGAAAAGUGAAGAUUGAAGCUGUACAGAGCGUUCAAAUUUUUAAUCAAUAGUGCUGAAAAGUGCAUCGGAUGGUGUUGAAUCAAAAGUAUUCAGUGAAUUGGUCCUGAAAGCCCUAAAAAGGUGGCAAAAGUGAUUUUUCAACCGAGACCACGCCAUGGUCAAUGGUGGAUCCAAAAUGGCGGAGCUCUGGGAUUACGCCCCUCAUCCGGUGCAGAAACGAAUGUUCUCGAUUAUGUAAGGAAGAUUCGAAGCAAUACUUCUAACAAUAAUCGAUGUGCUUUUUUGAAGCUGACAAAAUGAUUAGUUAUCUACAUCAAGUCUAACAAAAAAGAUGCCAAGUGUCGGUGGAAACGAUUCUAAACGUCUUACGGAGAGCAAUCUUUGGGAUAAUCGUGUAUCAUCAAGAAAUUGAUCAACGUGGCCGGGACGUUCCGGCAAUUUCCAAGAUGGCGUCGAACGGUAAAAAGUGCUAGGUUAUGUCUUGCCAACCGGCUACCAAGCCGCAUGCGCUUGGUCAUGCUCUAACGUCUCGAGGUGCCUAACCUCAAUUCAUCCGAUACCAUCGCAGUGUGAUUUCUUUCAAAUUCUAUUUCAAUUUUUUUGCGAAAAGAGUCUUUAUCGACACUGCUAGAUCUUGUUAAGUUCUAUUUCUAUUAUUUUGCAAAAGUCUAAGAAAGCAACGCACUCAAAUUUCUCUAUAUAUUUCUAUUUACAAUUCAAUCAGACUUAAAACCAAUCACUAGAGUUUCUCUAUAUAUUUCUAUUUACAAUUCGUUGGGAAGUGUAGAGUUGAUAUGCAAAUAAUAUUGAUCGCCACUGUAGUUUCUCAAUAUUUUCUAUUUCCUAUUCGUUCAGAACUUGAAUCAACCACUGAGAUUUCUCAAUAUUUUCUAUUUCCUAUUCGUUCAGAAACAAAAACCAACCACUGAGAUUUCUCAAUAUUUUCUAUUUCCUAUUCGUAUCAAAUUGAAAUUCAUAUCAUCCAUUGUAAUUUCUCAAUAUUUUCUAUUUCCUAUUCGUAUCAGACAACAUAACCAACCACUGAAGUUUCUCAAUAUUUUCUAUUUCCUAUUCGUAUCAGACAACUAGACCCAACCAAACUGCAAUUUCUUUCAAAUUCUAUUUCAAUUUUAUUGCGUCUUUGUCUCAAACAAAAAAAGUCUUACAAACAACACAAAACUGUUCACUCUUUGACAGUCACACGCAAUUGCGAAAAAAAAGUCUAACAAAAAACCAUGUCCUACAAACUAGUCUAAAAAAAAACAACAACACAAAACUGUUCACUCUUUGACAGUCACACGCAAUUGCGAAAACAAACAAACAAUCGAGAUUCCAUCUUAAAACCUUCUACCAAGAAGUCGUCAUCAUAUGACCAAAGGUCGCAUGAGUGCGUAGAGUAGAGUUUCAAAACCACUAUAAUUUCUUUCAAAUUCUAUUUCAAUUUUUUUGAGAAUUUUUUGACAAACGAAUGUUGUCAUUGCGUGAUAUUAUCACUACGGAAUAUUAUUUUUGAGCUUUUUUGACUAACGAAUGUUGUCAUUGCGUGAUAUUAUCACUACGGAAUAUUAUUUUUGAGCUUCUUUGACUAACGAGUGUUGUCAUUGCGUGAUAUUAUCACUACGGAAUAUUAUUUUUGAGAUUCUUUGACUAACGAAUGUUGUCAUUGCGUGAUAUUAUCACUACGGAAUAUUAUUUUUGAGCUUUUUUGACUAACGAGUGUUGUCAUUGCGUGAUAUUAUCACUACGGAAUAUUAUUUUUGAGAUUCUUUGACUAACGAGUGUUGUCAUUGCGUGAUAUUAUCACUACGGAAUAUUAUUUUUGAGCUUUUUUGACUAACGAGUGUUGUCAUUGCGUGAUAUUAUCACUACGGAAUAUUAUUUUUGAGAUUCUUUGACUAACGAGUGUUGUCAUUGCGUGAUAUUAUCACUACGGAAUAUUAUUUUUGAGAUUCUUUGACUAACGAAUGUUGUCAUUGCGUGAUAUUAUCACUACGGAAUAUUAUUUUUGAGCUUUUUUGACUAACGAAUGUUGUCAUUGCGUGAUAUUAUCACUACGGAAUAUUAUUUUUGAGAUUCUUUGACUAACGAGUGUUGUCAUUGCGUGAUAUUAUCACUACGGAAUAUUAUUUUUGAGCUUUUUUGACUAACGAAUGUUGUCAUUGCGUGAUAUUAUCACUACGGAAUAUUAUUUUUGAGCUUCUUUGACUAACGAGUGUUGUCAUUGCGUGAUAUUAUCACUACGGAAUAUUAUUUUUGAGAUUCUUUGACUAACGAAUGUUGUCAUUGCGUGAUAUUAUCACUACGGAAUAUUAUUUUUGAGCUUUUUUGACUAACGAGUGUUGUCAUUGCGUGAUAUUAUCACUACGGAAUAUUAUUUUUGAGAUUCUUUGACUAACGAGUGUUGUCAUUGCGUGAUAUUAUCACUACGGAAUAUUAUUUUUGAGCUUUUUUGACUAACGAGUGUUGUCAUUGCGUGAUAUUAUCACUACGGAAUAUUAUUUUUCAGACUUCUUGACUAACGAGUGUUGUCAUUGCGUGAUAUUAUCACUACGGAAUAUUAUUUUUGAGAUUCUUUGACUAACGAAUGUUGUCAUUGCGUGAUAUUAUCACUACGGAAUAUUAUUUUUACAAAAAAUGAUUUUGGACAUUUUUCUCUUAAAGUCGUCAUCAUAUGACCAAAGGUCGCAUGAGUGCGAAAACAAAAAUGUUAAAGUUUUUUUCAAAGAAUUCGUCAUCAUAUGACCAAAGGUCGCAUGAGUGCGAUAAAACAAACUUUUUCAAGAUACAACACGGUAAAUUCUUUUUAAGUUCUAUUUCUAUUAUUUUUGCGAAAUAAUAGCAAACAAAAAUCAAAGGUUCUUCAUUGGAAGUCGUCAUCAUAUGACCAAAGGUCGCAUGAGUGCGAAAAUAUAACUAAAUAUUCAAUCUAAGAAUUCGUCAUCAUAUGACCAAAGGUCGCAUGAGUGCGAUAAAAAAACUUGUUCGAGACACAACACUGUAAAUUCUUUUUAAGUUCUAUUUCUAUUAUUUUUGCGAAACAAUAGUAAACAAAAUUCAAAGAUUCUUCAUUGGAAGUCGUCAUCAUAUGACCAAAGGUCGCAUGAGUGCGAAAAUAUCAAUUGAUUCUUUUAAGAAUUCGUCAUCAUAUGACCAAAGGUCGCAUGAGUGCGAGAAUAACUUAAAGAUACAACACUGUAAUUUCUUUUUAAGUUCUAUUUCUAUUAUUUUUACGAAAUAAUAGUGAACAAAAAUUACAAAAAUUCUCACUAGAAGUCGUCAUCAUAUGACCAAAGGUCGCAUGAGUGCGAGAAACAAAUCAAAAGAUACAAUACUGUAAUUUCUUUUUAAGUUCUAUUUCUAUUAUUUUUGCGAAAUGAUAGUAUACCAAAGAUUAAAGAUCCUUCGCAAGAAGUCGUCAUCAUAUGACCAAAGGUCGCAUGAGUGCGAAAAUAUAACUAAAUAUUCAAUCUAAGAAUUCGUCAUCAUAUGACCAAAGGUCGCAUGAGUGCGAUAAAAAAAACUUGUUCAAGAUACAACACUGUAAAUUCUUUUUAAGUUCUAUUUCUAUUAUUUUUGCGAAAUAAUAGCAAUCAAAAAUCAAAAGUUCUUCAUUGGAAGUCGUCAUCAUAUGACCAAAGGUCGCAUGAGUGCGAAAAUAUAAAUUAUUCGCGUCAUGUGUUGAACUGUUGUCAACUGCGACGAUUUCGUCUGCGCUAAACUAAGUUGUUUGCUAGCUGAAAUGAUUUGUUACAAGAGACUUGUGAGAAUGAAGUCAGGAUAUUACAUUUCUAAGAAUUCGUCAUCAUAUGACCAAAGGUCGCAUGAGUGCGAAAAACGAACAGAAGAUGUAACACUGUAAUUUCUUUUUAAGUUCUAUUUCUAUUAUUUUUAAGAAAUAAUAGCCAACAAAAACUAAAGAUUCUUCAUUGGAAGUCGUCAUCAUAUGACCAAAGGUCGCAUGAGUGCGAAAAACAUACCAUCCAUUAUGAUUUCUCAAUAUUUUCUAUUUCCUAUUCGUUGCGAAAACCGACAGACCAACCCACUGUCAUUUCUUUCAAAUUCUAUUUCAAUUUUUUUGCUUGUCCAAUAACGUGCAAAUUUUCCGCACUGCUGUUUUGUACAUAAUUUUUUUUUCCGGAAUGUGUUAGUUCACUUUAUUUUAUUUUUUUGUUUUUCACUGCACUGUUUGUGUUUUUUUAAUAAAUUCUUCUAAGAAUUCGUCAUCAUAUGACCAAAGGUCGCAUGAGUGCGAAAAACGAACAGAAGAUGUAACACUGUAAUUUCUUUUUAAGUUCUAUUUCUAUUAUUUUUACGAAAUAAUAGCCAACAAAAACUAAAGAUUCUUCAUUGGAAGUCGUCAUCAUAUGACCAAAGGUCGCAUGAGUGCGAAAAACAUACCAUCCAUUAUGAUUUCUCAAUAUUUUCUAUUUCCUAUUCGUUGCGAAAACCGAUAAAUCAACCUACUGUAAUUUCUUUCAAAUUCUAUUUCAAUUUUUUUGCGUCUUGUUAUUAUGGUCCCUACGACUUGCAACCCACUUUUAAAUCUACGAUUCGGGUUGAGCUCUGUAAUAGACGAACAAAAGCAAACCCACUGUAAUUUCACAAUAUUACAAUAUGCAUUACAAAUUUAAGAAAAGACCAAUCAACCUUCUGUAAUUUCACAAUAUUACAAUAUGCAUUACAAAUUUAAGACUUUAUGAAAACCAACCGACUGUAGUUUCACAAUAUUACAAUAUGCAUUACAAUUUACGUUGUAGCCUUGAUCACUUUCAAGGGUCUUAGAUUUUCGAACCAUAGGCUGUCAUCCGAAGUAGAUCGGUGUCCUCAAGCCUCAACUCACUGUGAUUUCACAAUAUUACAAUAUGCAUUACAAAUUUAUGUUAAUUAUGUCAUUUAUGUUGUCUGAUUCUAAUGAAUGGGAACAAAUGUCACACUAGAUCCGUGAUAUUAUCACUACGGAAUAUUAUUUUUGCGAAAUUUUGACUAACGAACGUUGUCAUUGCGUGAUAUUAUCACUACGGAAUAUUAUUUUUACGUUGUCUCUAAGUCUACAAAACCACACCACGAACCACUGUAGUUUCUUUCAAAUUCUAUUUCAAUUUUUUGCGAACAAAAAAAAACCCAUGAAAAAUUGUAAACUAGGUUAAGUCAAAAAUGUUAGCAAAUAAACUAAAAAUCAUACCAAACCUGAA
This is a long non-coding RNA of Culex pipiens pallens (northern house mosquito), 6234 nucleotides long. RefSeq lists it as uncharacterized. Lineage: Eukaryota; Metazoa; Arthropoda; Insecta; Diptera; Culicidae. The transcript has 2 exons. The record is from RefSeq and is a predicted model, not a curated record.